UGGGGAAUAUUGGACAAUGGGGGCAACCCUGAUCCAGCGAUGCCGCGUGAGUGAAGAAGGCCUUCGGGUCGUAAAGCUCUUUAGGUUGGGAAGAAGUUUGGUGGCGGACAAUGCCAUUAGAUUGACGGUACCGACAGAAUAAGCACCGGCAAACUCUGUGCCAGCAGCCGCGGUAAUACAGAGGGUGCAAGCGUUAAUCGGAUUUACUGGGCGUAAAGGGCGCGUAGGCGGUUGUAUGUGUGUGAUGUGAAAGCCCCGGGCUUAACCUGGGAAGUGCAUCGCCGACUAUACAACUGGAGUAUAUGAGAGGGUGGCGGAAUUUCCGGUGUAGCGGUGAAAUGCGUAGAGAUCGGAAGGAACGUCGAUGGCGAAGGCAGCCACCUGGCAUAAUACUGACGCUGAGGCGCGAAAGCGUGGGGAGCGAACA
RNAcentral lists this ribosomal RNA (427 nucleotides) under uncultured Aquicella sp. RNAcentral's name for it is "bacterial SSU rRNA". It matches the Rfam family "Bacterial small subunit ribosomal RNA", at positions 355 to 774 of the family's 1533-position model. Lineage: Bacteria; Pseudomonadati; Pseudomonadota; Gammaproteobacteria; Legionellales; Coxiellaceae. The record is from RNAcentral.